UUUGACAGAAGCCAAAACCAGAGGCAUAUUACUGUUAAUGAUAAAAUUGAAUUUUUUCCUGUUAA
Non-coding RNA from Cherax quadricarinatus, 65 nucleotides. The record is from the annotation of a RefSeq genome assembly. NCBI's taxonomy places the organism in Eukaryota, Metazoa, Arthropoda, Malacostraca, Decapoda, Parastacidae.